GCGCUCACGACUCAGUUCACCCUGAGAAGCCUGGGAGGCAGGGAGAGACUGGAUGUUCUUGGGAGGGAAUGGCUGUCCUUGCAUCAGGUUCCCACACUUCUUCUGUGCCUUUCCAUGCCUGACCGAGGCAGGUGGCGAUCCCUACUGUUCCCUGAUCUCUGCAUGUUGAGCAUCGUGCACCCAUCAUCUCCUUUCACUCUGCAACAACCCUGCCAGCCGAGCUGCUCUCUCAUUUACAAAUCAGGAAAUCGGAGUUCAGCAAAGUUCAGCCGCUUGCACAAGGUUGCUCAGCAGCACGUGAGUGCCUCAGCUCGACACGUCUCUGAUUCUUACAUCUUUGCUCUGGCUUCUUACAGAACCCAGUUUCUUCAAAAAGGAGCUGAUCACACCCCACCAGCCCUGCCUGCUCCUGUGCACUUAACAUCCAGUGUUGUCACGGAUUAUUUAUGCUUCUAAUUCGUCUAUUCCUGAAGACAAAGACAGGCUCUCUCGGUAUUGGCCUCCUUGUCUAGCACAGACUCUUACAGAAUGCAGGCUGCAACAUUUAAAUAUUUGUCGAAUACAUGGAGGCUAUGAGCUUUGUUAGGAAAGUAGUCUCUUCGAGUGCUUAAGGGCCUGGCGUCAGGAGCAGAACUACCUGCGUUUUAAACCAGUUGCUGCUACUUACUAGGUGCCUGACGGUGGCAAAGUUCAUGACCGAUCUCAUCACGUGAGUCCUUCAAAGUGGAGAAUCAUUCCUGGCUGGGUCAGACAGGGGCAGGAGGAGUGAUUCAAAGUGUGAGAGGGACUUGGCCCACCCACCGAUGUUGGCUUUGAAGAUGGAGGAAGGGGACCAGGAGCCAAGGACUGUGAGUGGCCUCUAGAAACUGAGAAUGGCCCCCAGAUGACAACCAGCAAAAAACAGUGACCUUGGUCCUACAACCUCAAGGAGUUGAAUUUUCCUACAACCCGAAUGAACAAGGAAACAGACGGUCCCCUAGAGCCUACAGAAGGGAUUGUGGCCCUGCUGACACCUUGAGCUUAAGCUGGUGAGACCCACAUUGGACUAAUAACCUACAGAAUUGCAAGAUAAAUUUGUGUUGUUUUAAGCCAUUACAUUUGUGGUAAUUUGUUGUGGCAGCCAUAGAAAAUGAACAGUUUCCAAAUGGCGGAAGCUGAGGUGGUGCUCAGAACCUGUCACCCAUGGUUUGCCGAUGUCUACAGGUGCUGGCAGUUAAUAGGACGUAAUGACACCAAAUUGAUGAGAGUGAGGGGAUGAGGGAGAGCCAAUGUGGGCUGCCACACUUCUCAGUGAACGAAGUGGAGACACACACACGUGCACACACAAAGUAGGGAGGGACAUGACAGCAGCAAUCAGACAUAUUCUUCAUUUUGGAAACCAACUAGGUAUGAUUUCAAAAUUCACCAGUGGAUAGCAGUAAAUGGAUUUAUCAUCCAAACCCCAGGAUUGUUAUGAGGGCUGUUUCACUAGCAGAUGGAAAAUGGGCUGUCUUAUGGACACAGUCUUACAUUUUGCUUGGUUGGAUCAAAUUUCAAAUAGUCAUUUAUAAAGGACAUGUGUAGUGAGAGAAGACAUAUCUGUUGUUUUAGCCACCAAGUUUCACUUUUCCUUCUGCC
Molecule: long non-coding RNA, 1617 nt
Organism: Equus caballus (horse)
Lineage: Eukaryota; Metazoa; Chordata; Mammalia; Perissodactyla; Equidae
Source: Ensembl